AUUGGUUGUGAAGGAAACCUGUUUUUAAACAAAUUAGUUGGAAGUCAAAUUAUUGUUGCUCCUCAGCUUCAAUACAAAUCUGGCCUUAAACAAAUGACGGAGAAAGUGUCUGAAAAACUGAAAGAACAGGGCUCAUCAGCUUAUCUGAUUGAAGUUGGAGGCUCCUCUUACAUGGUUACUUAACUGCAUUUCAAGAAAUGAUAGAUCAGUUGGCAGCAAUGGAAGUGUAUCAGGAAUUGCCAUUGGUAACUAUUAAACAGGAUCAAAAUUCAAGUGUCAUGCAGUGAAUGUGUGGGAUGAUGCAGCAUAUUUUUAUCAGAAAAGACCUUCAAAUAGGUGGACUAGAUGUUCAAGGAGGAGAAAUAAUUGA
This 370-nucleotide long non-coding RNA is filed under the name Pocillopora damicornis (cauliflower coral). Its description in RNAcentral is "uncharacterized LOC113669877, transcript variant X1". The record is from RNAcentral. Lineage: Eukaryota; Metazoa; Cnidaria; Anthozoa; Scleractinia; Pocilloporidae.